This is a long non-coding RNA of Papaver somniferum (opium poppy), 4047 nucleotides long. RefSeq lists it as uncharacterized. Lineage: Eukaryota; Viridiplantae; Streptophyta; Magnoliopsida; Ranunculales; Papaveraceae. The record is from RefSeq and is a predicted model, not a curated record. The transcript has 3 exons.
UCUAUCGAUUAUCCCGUGAACAACGAAAAGGGAAAAAAAUCUUAUUUCUCCGGAAACCUAAUAACCUAACGGCAGAAGAAAUAUCUUUCUCUAUUUCUUCCUUCUUCCACAUCUUAAAUUCUUUGCUUAGGGUUUGUAUCUCAAUUUUGUAUUUGUUUAUAUUUUUUCGUACAGGGUAAGGUGUCAUUUGUAUCAUCGGAUGGUAUUCAUCAGUUAGACAUCUUCAUCUUAAUGAACGAACGAGUUUGCUAUUGUAAACCCUAACCCUUUUCUUUCCGUCUCUUUGUCUGCCUGAACGAUUUUUUGCUAUUGCAAACCCUAACCCCUUAUCUGUCAUCGGGCAUGUAUGAUUUUGUUGGUUUGCAUGUAUGAUUUUGUUGGUUUGCAGGUGAUAAUACAUCGAUAUCUCUUUGUUUGCCUGAACGAUUUUUUGUUAUUGCAAACCCUAACCCCUUCUCUGUCAUCGGACAUGUAUGAUUUUAAUUUACUUUUGUUUUGUUGGUUUGCAGGUGAUAAUACAUGGAUGUUGGUUUACAGGUGAUAAUACAUGGAUACAAGGAGAGAUUCAUGAGCGGUGUCGUGGUGAACACCAAGUGAUUGACGUGGGCAUAUGAAGCAUUUGGAAUUGAAAAGGAAGUUUAUCAAACAGUUGCCAGAACUUUGGUUCUCAUUAAUACCUAUAUAUGGCUUAACUUUAUUUCUUAUUUAUUAUUCUUGCAAAUUCCGUGUGCCAUUUUUUCUAACUUUUGUGCAGGUGAUUCUAUGGUAAUCCAAAUGGCUAAACCUAUUCUCUUCUGCGUGAAACAAAACUGGGUUUGCGUUUCUUUCGUUUUUUGAUAUCAAAUCUGCAUGGCCAGUUUUCCAGUGAAUUUUUCAACUCGACUGGAAAAAGAGAAUGAAUGUGAACAUUAUGAGAAAUCAUCUUAUAUUGCUAAAAGUAAAAGAUAUUGAAACAUAUUGUCGGUCUGAAUGCUAAUAUAUUACGACUGUAUGCUAACUGUAUUUACCACCUAACAGAUUAGGGUUUGAUUGUAUUGGUGGUAACAUUAACAUAGCUGAUAUCACCAACAUGGUAAGAAGGAAAGUUAGUGAUACAAUUCAAUACUUGGGUUAUUAUGAUUUUAUCCUGCAAUAAUAACCUUCAGUCAUGCUUCAUUAGAAACCUAGGUUCAAUUCAAAAUAUAGACGUGAGUGGGAAUCGACUGUUUGCUUUUGAUUCAUUCCGAUGAUGUGAUACAUAAAAAAUAAUUGUUUCGUAUUUUGUUACUUUGCCAAUGGAAUUAAAGUACCAAACAGUACUUAUGUAUGGAAUGUGAAGUCAGUAAGAGCCUAACAUCCUUCCAUGCAUCGGUUUUCACUCCAACAGAUAACUAUUGAUUUAAUUAGUCCAGAGGGAAUUUACUCUUAGCAAACCUGUGAUUGAUAAGCAUGAGCUUUCUAUUCUUAGCUUACCACUUUGUGCAUUUCGUUUAUGUGAAUAAGCAGAAGAUUCUCCAGUAUGGUCAUCAAAUGACAUUAACUUUGUCAUCACGACGGCGCGGGCGAAGCCGCGCGACACCAAAUCAAAAAUGCAUCGGAACCUAAUUUUGGGUUUAAUUCUUUUCACAUUAAUAAUUGACUCAGGUAAUUGUUUAUCGUUAUUUUACUUGAUUUUGAAUCCGAUGAAAAUUGGAUAUUUGGGUGAAUUUUUUUGAAAUUCUGACCAUGAUGGUAUCUCUUCAAAUGGGUACUCAGUUUGAAGAGAAAUUACUUUGUGGUACUCAGUUUCUGUAUCUUGGUUAUGUUGUUGCAUUCAUGCUUUACUGAUUGAUUUUAAUUUGACUAUUUAGCUACUGAUGUGUUGUUAUGGAGGAACAACUGAACAAGAUAUCGGCAAGUGCCAUAUCUGGGCUACAUUCAUAUUGGUGCUCUUUGAAUGGCUUGAAUUUAACUUUGUUACUUAUCUUCCUUGUUUUAGCUCUUGGCAUGCUUGCUCAAUUUGUAUGGUCAUCUGCUUCAGGGUUGCUAAACAGGUAAGUUGGGAGAUUAUGCUUUCACCACCACCCCUCCCAAUUGGAUAACGAAUGUUAUCAUUGUCUUAAUUUCGCAAAUCUUACUGCCUUAUGGGAUACAUGGAAGUAAUGGCUAUCUGUCUACCACUAAUGCUGCAAUGGUCUACUUAAUCCUUAACGUGAAUAGUGUAACCGAAUAUGAGGUAGAAACCUGUGACUAAUGCACCCCUAUCGUUAUUGAUUUUUUGGCGUUACAAGUAGUAAUUUGUGGCGAAUUUACCAAAUGUAACAUAUUGGGAUGUUUUUGUUAUUACAAUGUUAAGCGGUUUUAGGCGUCUAACCAUCUUUAUUCUAUUGCAGGGCAUUUUAGCCACUUUAGGCUUACCAUUUUUCAGGUGUUGUUGGGUUGGUAUGGAUACCAUUUGCCAUGGUUAACGUCAUCUAUUAUUUUUUAAGAUUCGAGGGGAAGGCUGAUGUGGAGUUCAGGUUGGUAUUAUAGCAGCAGUUGGUUGCAGUGCGGCAAUUGCUUCAUUACUUCGGGCUGUGCUGUAGUUUAUGGCUUCGUUGGGGUCGGGUUAGAUACAGCAUACAAACACAAAUGGUUUUAUACAGAAGCACAAGAUAUUGAUCUCAUUGAUUUUGAAACUGGCGAAGCGUAGCCGAGCCACACCAAAUCGAGACGGGGCGAGGCGAAUCCGAGCUUUAUCGAAUCAAAUCGGGACUGGGCGAAGUGAAACCGAUCUUUACCGAGCUUUACCAAAUCGGGACGAGGCGAAGCCGAAGCAGAGCUUUACCAAAUAAAGUUGUAGAUUGAAGUUUGCGAAGCUGCCCAGGCGUAGCACGGGCACAAAAUCUAGUUUUUUCUAAGUACUGGCAAUACAAAUUUUUCUAUCGGUGCCCUACUAUAUAUAUAUUAGAAAGACACCUAGAAACAUUUGCUGAAUUUUCUGAAUGAUUUUCUAUUGUUCGACCAAGUUCUCUCAGAAGCUCCUAACUUAAUUGAGUCAUCACCCCUUCAUUUUCAUAAUCUGCGAUGUUUGAGGCUGGAUAUGUGUUUUACAAGAAGCUGUUUGCACACAUUAACAUACUUAUUGAAGAUCUCUCGUAAUGUAGAAUCUAUAUUGUUAGGAAAAGUGCGGUUUGUUAUGCUAGGUCCGUAUCCAUACAAAGGUGGAUUUCCUAACCGGGUUUGGAGAUACUAGUAAAGGGUUUAGUUCCGAUUAGGAGACUAAUACUUGGUGUCCAAGUUUGUGUUCUCCAUAUAUAUAUAUAUAUAUGACUAUAAUUGUAGGUCUUUAGUAAUCCAACCUAGAAGAGUGGUAAAUCCUUGUGCCUAGUUUUUGGUCUUUUUGGUAGGGAGGAUCGUGCGCUACCGUGAAGGUCAAUAUCGGUGAUAGAAAAACUUGUGGACAGAGGAUUUUGGUGUUCUAGUGUUUAGGGUUUGGGGCUUUGCCCUAAACCUAGUUUCUCCUCUGUUACUUACAGCUAUGAAAACGGUGUAGAAGAGAAGACAUGAGGCUGGUUUGAGGAAUGGUUAGAGAUUGGUUUCUAUGGUUUCUUCGUUGGUGUUCUCGGGUAUGUCUUAUUAACUCUUUGGGUCUUGUUUUGGGUUGCGUAAAGAGCAUGUAAUGGUCUUUGAUAUAAUGGAAGUUUUCUGGUGGUGUUGGCCGUGGAUGUAGCCUGUAAAGGUGAACCACGUAUAUCUUGUGUUGUGGUUGUGUGCUUGUUUAUCUUCUGUCUCUCUCUUAUUAUUUCUCCCAUGUUUGGUCGAAAUCACCAAUUGCUCUUUGUGAUCCUGUAAUUCCGCUGCGCUCGGGGUGCAAAUUUCCAACAAUUGGUAUCAUAGCCAAGUAUGGGCUGGUGUGAUUGAACCUGAAAUUGAACGAUGGUUUAUUGUUCGGGUGGAGAAAUAUUUUUGAAGAUAAUGUUACAACCGGUGCUGACACAAAGAUGGAUUUGUGAUGUGAUUUACAAAUCGGAGGUUCAACUUGGUAGAAGUGUAUGUUCUUCGUUUUGUUUUAUGAUGUAGUAUGGGAUGCAGAAUAAGGCUAGAUGA